This 463-nucleotide ribosomal RNA is filed under the name uncultured bacterium. RNAcentral's name for it is "partial 16S ribosomal RNA". It matches the Rfam family "Bacterial small subunit ribosomal RNA", at positions 28 to 507 of the family's 1533-position model. The record is from RNAcentral.
GACGAACGCUGGCGGCGUGCUUAACACAUGCAAGUCGAACGGAAAGGCCUUUUCGGAGGUACUCGAGUGGCGAACGGGUGAGUAACACGUGGGUGAUCUGCCCUGCACUCUGGGAUAAGCCUGGGAAACUGGGUCUAAUACCGGAUAGGACCGCACUUUAGUGUGUGUGGUGGAAAGUUUUUUCGGUGUAGGAUGAGCCCGCGGCCUAUCAGCGUGUUGGUGGGGUAAUGGCCUACCAAGGCGGCGACGGGUAGCCGGACUGAGAGGUUGGUCGGCCACAUUGGGACUGAGAUACGGCCCAGACUCCUACGGGAGGCAGCAGUGGGGAAUAUUGCACAAUGGGCGCAAGCCUGAUGCAGCGACGCCGCGGGGGGGAUGACGGCCUUCGGGUUGUAAACUCCUUUCGCCAGGGACGAAGCGUUUUGUGACGGUACCUGGAGAAGAAGCACCGGCUAACUACGUG